AGUGUAUUGUUUUUGACAUGGUUAACUGAGGGGACAGGAAUGGCACACAAUUCAGCAAAUUUUAUUUUUUCUAUGAUAUAUAUCACUGAGAUAACACGGUGAGUAGUCAUCUCUACUGUUUUUUGUUUGUUGAUUUUUUUGAAUCAGAGAUCAAGAUUAAAUACUUUUGGAAAAGGCAAGUGAAAUGCUACUUUUUUAAAACUUUACCAGCAUUCUCUUAACCGAAUGUAAUUUACUUCCUUUUCUGCCUUAUGAAAACUUCUACUUUGUCUCACCUAUAAAAUUUCUCAGCAUUUUUCUUCAAACUGGGAGGCCCUUGUAAUUUGAAUAUUAAAAUGUUUGUUGCCUUUUUUCUUGUUGCUCAAAUUUAUCCUGGCUCAUGGGUCAAUGUAUUCCUUACUCAGCUGUUGUGCUCAUUUAUCUCACUAAUUAGCUAGCUCUCUCCUGGAAGAGAGCUCCUGGAGUUCCCAUUGUGGCUCAGCGGUAAUGAUCCUGACUAGUAUCUAUGAGGAUGCAGGUUUGAUCCCUGGCCUUGAUCACUGGGUUAAGGAUCUGGCAUUGGUGUUUCCAUGAGCUGCAUGGUUUGGAUCUGGCAUUGCUGUGGCUGUGGUAUAGGUCAUCAACUACAGCUUCAAUUUGAGCUGAGAAGUUCCAUAUGCCAAAGAUGUGGCCCUCAAAAAAGCAAAAAAUAAAAAUAAAAAAAAGAGAGAGUUCCUUGCUUUUUCUUGGCUGAUAUCUGUCUGUGUUGGGAAGCUCUGCACCGUCUUUUAUUCCUAGAGCUUCUUUUUCCAUCCCACCUUGCUUUGAUUAUUCAGACUUUUUCUAAGACUGAAAGAGAAAGGCUGAUAAUAUAUCUCUUUCUCUCAAGGCUGGCUCUAAUCCUGAGACAAUUUCUUUCUAACUGGGAGAAAAGUUACCUUAGCAACUAAGCAACUAAUUAACUCAAUUAAAUUUCCCCCUCCUCCUUUAUCAAUAUUCAAUUAACAUUAAAUCGCUUCUUUGCUAUGCUCUGUAGUUUUAUAACUCUAUGAGCAAAUAGCUGAAGUGGACCAAGGAUUGCAGGGGGCAGGAUGAGGAAUGUCUCAGAGGGGCCAAAAUGUUCAGGUGAGGACUCAGAACCUGAAGGCAACACCUUCAUUCCCCAACUUCCCUUAGCACAUUUUAAGAUCUUUGGAUGCAAUUUAGAUGCAGCUGUUGGGAAUAGAAGGGGCAGGAACAGAACUCAGAAGUGACCAAGAUUGUUUCUAGCACUCAGUAGAAUGGCAUUCAGAAGCAGAAAUAGGUUGAUGUAAAGAAAAACAAAUUCCCAUUGUGGUGCAGCAGAAACAAAUCCAGCUAGUAUCCAUGAGGAUUCGGGUUUGAUCCCUGGCCUCACUCAGUGGGUAGGGGAUCCAGCAUUGUCAUGAACUGUGGUGUAGCUUGCAGACACAACUCGGAUCCCACCUGGCUGUGGCUGUGGCUGUGGCUGGCAGCUAUAGCUCUGAUUCCAACCCCUAGCCUGGGAACUUCCAUAUGCUGUGGGUGCGGCCUUAAAAUAAUUAAAAAAUGAAAAAUAAUGGAGGGGAAAUGAAGCAAAUCCUAGCAAAUUUAAAAACUGUUUUUACUAUGAAAGUCAAGUAGUAAAAGAUGGAUUUUCCCUAAAAGAAUCAAAGUAGAAAUGAGUUGGAUUCUAACAUAUUCUGGAAGGUUGGUUUGGAAAUCCACAUAUUUUCCUCACCUUCUCCAAAUGCGGAAACAUUGCUCAGCCAUGAUUGAAUUUGCUUCCUUAACUUCAUUAUCACCAGCCUUAGACAAUUUCUACAUUCUGAACAUGACAUAUACUUCUUAUCUACAUCAUCCUUUCUAGGAGUGAGUGGGAAUAAGAAUAAAUGCAUUUAUUCUCUUCUGUCAAAUUAAGCCUUUAGACGAAAUGUGUGAAUUGAUACAUAAACAUGCAAAAUCAUCUCAUUGACCCUUGUUAGGUGCUUAAUAUCUGUGUACUGAGUACUUCAAUGAUCUCAUUAGGAAUGCUUUAGGAAGUUAAUACUGUAGCCCCAUUAUGCAAAUGAGGGUAUUAAGGCAUUCAAAUAUAUGUACCUGUGUUAAAGGCACACACCAAGUUAGCAAAGAUCUGGGAUUUGGAUCCAGAUCAGUUGAAUGCCAAAGAUAAUUUUUUCAGUUACUAUCCACGCUAUCCACAUGAGCAGAGGAGAGAAAUGAUAUUCCUACUUAAGGACAUACUGUUUAAUGCCCUGUCUAGAGAAACUCUGACCUUGACAAGUUAUCAGAUAAAGAGGAUAUUUCUAGAGGUACAAGUCAAGUGUGUAUUGAAGAGUCUGGUCCUAAAAUUUUAAGUGGUGAGAUUAUUAUAUAAAACAUUUGUACAAAUUGUUUAUGUGCAGCUAACCCUGGGACUCAGGGCUACUGAUUUUAACAAAUAAAAUGACUAGGUGACCAUUUACUUUAAAUUUCAGAUAAACAACAAAAAAUGCUUAGUAUAAAGACAUUCUUUGCACUAUUUGGGAUUUACUUAUACUAAAAAAAUUUAUUAAUUAUCUGAAAUUCAAAUUUUACUAGAUGUUCAGAAUCUUAUCAGGCAACCUUACAGGUCUAGGUUCUGUCACUGCUAAGUAUGUGAUUAUUUGUCACUGUUCUGCCUAAUACUGAGCCCUACUACAGUGGCUAAGACCAGAAAAAAAAUCACACAGACUCACACGUGCUGCUCCUAGCAUGUACAUCAUGAUCCAGAGCAGUGCUUGGGAGGAUAGUCCAUGUGGGAAUUUGGCCUUGGACUAGUCUUUUCCAGCACCUCCUUUCUCCUACCUGGAGCUCCUGACUGAAGAGUCACACCUUGGGAUCCAUGCUUGAUUCUCCUGCUCCUUUUCUCUCAUCUGUUUUUCCCCCUGAUCCCAAACAUGCCAGUCAUUGCCUUCACAUUCAGUACCUAGGCACACAUGAGUCUGGAGUUGGAAUUUAGGGCUAGAAAGACUCCUGGAGAUUGUUUCACAAAUGAGGAAACUGAGGACCUUAUAG
RNAcentral lists this long non-coding RNA (3012 nucleotides) under Sus scrofa (pig). RNAcentral's name for it is "lncRNA (multiple genes)". The record is from RNAcentral. Lineage: Eukaryota; Metazoa; Chordata; Mammalia; Artiodactyla; Suidae.